Long non-coding RNA from Lycium barbarum (goji berry), 1764 nucleotides. RefSeq lists it as uncharacterized. The transcript has 3 exons. The record is from RefSeq and is a predicted model, not a curated record. NCBI's taxonomy places the organism in Eukaryota, Viridiplantae, Streptophyta, Magnoliopsida, Solanales, Solanaceae.
UGGAAAAACCGAAUUAAGCUGAUAGACCUAUGUACCAUAAGUAAAAACCAUCCAAACAAGCGGAUGUGCUAUCUGUCUCAUGAAUUCCAUACGUUUUCAUGUGUACAUCUAUGUUUUCUAUUUCACGAGAUGCAAAAAGAUUGAAAUGCCAUGUUGUAGGGCUAGUUGUGUCAUUGUGUAUGGAUGCCAUGUACUGUAAAAUGGCGUCUUUUUGUGUAUGUCGUACAGAGUCUUCUGUAGUGUUGCUUUGCUUUUUUUUUUUUUUUUGGCUAAGGGAAAAUAUCACUUUUACCAUGUAUCAUCUUUCAUUUGUUUGGAUGUUGAUGGGAUGAAUCCUUUAGCUAGAAUGAGUUUAAGCGGGAGGUUAUUAGUGAGGUUGAUCUCUUUGAACCUUUUGUUAUAAGAUUAGUUUCUGUACACUUGCUUCUUUUAGCCUUCUUUAAUACUUAAAAAUAUAUUGUUAAAAUGUUAAUCUCGUAUAUGCUCAUGCUCAUGCACCUUGUGGAUUAUCAUAUUUACGCUAGAAAAUCGUCUAAUUAAACUAAUUGUAGUGGAGAACAUUGUAUACAUUAUACUUGAUACACAUUCUUGAUGUAGAAUACUUAGCGCCAGGGACAAUUCGAAGGUGUUACAACUAUUUUCCUAGUGUAAUUUAACUAAGGAAUUGCACUAGAGAGUAUGUGUAGCCUGUAAUUAUGGAUGAUUCAUUCAAGUGUAAUUAGCUAAGGAUUAGUCACAAAUUGCCACGUAGGGAAGACUUGAUUUGAGAGAGAUUGUUUGAAGUUGAAAAGAUUUGGUAUCUUGUUCCAUAUUUCGAUGUAAUAUUGGCACUACGGCAGACUUUGCAGUUCUGUCAAACAACUUUCAUACGAAAGGUGACACAGCUUCUUUUGCAGGAAGUUGGUUACCAUGAUUCGUCAUCUCGUUCGACAUCUAGCUCAUCUUCUCGUCCUGCUGCCAAGGACAAGCCACUGAAGAACCCACCGAAGCCUGGCAAGUGAUCGUCUCAUUAAUUCCUUGUACAAUUUUGGCUGCGCCACAAAUUACUAUUUUAUGACUUAGAAUGUGAUUCCUAUACGUUGCAGCUUCUCCUGCUCCUCCUCCAGCCCCCGUACAGAGUCAACCUGCAGCAGGAGGUCUUGGCUCUUCGUUUGCUGAUGGAAUGGCCUUUGGUGGUGGAAAUGCGGUCGGCCAUAGGACAGUGGAUGCCGUGUUAGGCCCGCGGGUUAGACAUGAGGUUGCGGUAGCUGAUCCUGCCCCCUCAGCUGGUUCAACAACUGUUAAUCCUACUUCAUGUGCUGGCCAAAUGAAUGCUUUCCAAGAGUGUCUCAACGUCAAUGGUAGUGACCUAAGCAAGUGCCAGUUUUACAUGGACAUGCUCUGUGAAUGUCGCAGAAGUUUUGCCACUGGCUUGAUUGCUUAAUGUUAUGAUGACGACUAGUUUUGUUGGAUGAGGGCCUCUUUCUUUAGUUAUCACUAGGUUCAUUUAUGGUUGGUAGUUGUUACUGCCAUUUAAUUCUGUAAGAAUCUACUAGCUGUUCACUUGUGAAGGGUUUUGAUGAUUCUUAUUUAUGGUUGGCACCGCAAUAAAUUUAUGAAAUUGCUCUUACUCCUGCUGCUACUUGAGUACACCUCAGAAUCUUUAUGCAUCCUCCAAUAACUUCAAUCACAAUUGACCCUCAGGUUCUAAACUCAAUCAAGAGCAUGAACCUACACUGUUACUUCACCCACAUUUAAGUACUAAUCUUCGUGUUAGUGACAGGG